AGGUGGAGAAAUUGAAGCUUGGCAUCCCAGUGUCCCAUUCAAGACGUUCCAAGCAGUAGAUGGAAAUGCAGCACGUGAGGACAUAGUGUUCCUUUUCUCUGAAGGAUGCAGCAAGAAAGCGCCAUCUUGGAAAGGGAGACGAAGCUCUUACCAGACACCAAACCUGCUGGCACCGUGAUCUUGGACCUCCCAGCCUCCAGAACCAUGAGAAAUAAAUUUAUGUUGUAUGUAAA
Homo sapiens (human) is the source of this 233-nucleotide long non-coding RNA. RefSeq lists it as uncharacterized. NCBI's taxonomy places the organism in Eukaryota, Metazoa, Chordata, Mammalia, Primates, Hominidae. The transcript is spliced from 2 exons. The record is from RefSeq and is a predicted model, not a curated record.